AGUGAACGCUGGCGGUAUGCCUAACACAUGCAAGUCGAACGGCAGCACAGUAAGAGCUUGCUCUUACGGGUGUCGAGUGGCGGACGGUUGAGGAAUACAUCGGAAUCUACUUUUUCGUGGGGGAUAACGUAGGGAAACUUACGCUAAUACCGCAUACGACCUACUGGUGAAAGCAGGCGAUCUUCGGACCUUUCGCGAUUGAAUGAGCCGAUGUCGGAUUAGCUAGUUGGCGGGGUAAAGGCCCACCAAGGCGACGAUCCGUAGCUGGUCUGAGAGGAUGAUCAGCCAGACUGGAACUGAGACACGGUCCAGACUCCUACGGGAGGCAGCAGUGGGGAAUAUUGGACAAUGGGCGCAAGCCUGAUCCAGCCAUACCGCGUGGGUGAAGAAGGACUUCGGGUUGUAAAGCCAUGUUGUUGGGAAAGAAAAGCAGCAGGUUAAUACCCCGCUGUUCUGACGGUACCCAAAGAAUAAGCACCGGCUAACUUCGUG
RNAcentral lists this ribosomal RNA (492 nucleotides) under uncultured bacterium. RNAcentral describes it as "partial 16S ribosomal RNA". It matches the Rfam family "Bacterial small subunit ribosomal RNA", at positions 29 to 507 of the family's 1533-position model. The record is from RNAcentral.